GUUCCCCCCCCACUUCCCUGCUGCGGAGCCGUCUCCAAGUGACAGCGGUGAGCGGAUUAAUUAAGCUGCCUGUCAGCCCUUGGCAGCCGGCAGCUCUGCCACGCCAGCGCUAAUUAAACCCAACAAAACCUACCUUUAUCUCCAAACCCUGCCGCGGGCUGGGAUAAGGCAGGAGGCCACCGGGAGCUGAGCUCAGGCUGAGUUCAUCGUGCCCAAGAGCCUGGCACUCACCCCCGAGCACAGGAGAGGGUUGGGAAUGCGGAUCCCACGCCCUGACAGGCAGCUUUUCCCAGCCCGGACUCCUCGUGUCCCGAGCGUGCGGGAGUUUCACGGCCCAUUAGGAUGCGGGAAUGACGUCCCCAUGGCCGGGUCACCGCUCGGGGCUGCCGAGCAGAGGGCAGUGAAUUAUGAGCAGCCUCGGGCCAGGCUGCAGCCUCCAGCGAGGAUGGGAUCGCUCAGGAUGCAGCAUUCCUGGAGAUGUUGGGAUGUCGGGAUGCUGGGACCCCGGUCCCGGGUUGCUGCCUGUCCCGGGGGACCACCCCUGCGGACCUGGGCUGGGGAUUUGCCGCUCUCACGGGAUUUUUCUGCUUGUACAGGGGCAGCCCCUAAACCCCCCUCAGUCCCUGGCACCGCUCAGCCCCCUCCUUAAUUAAUUUUGCAGACUCCACAGCCGGAUUUGAUGAAAAACAUCCCACAAAAAGCCAAUGAACAAGUCACCGAGCAGCACUGCGGCCUCUUCUAAUGAUAUUUUCUUUGUGGUUUUGGUUUGGAAUAUCUUCCUCUGAACUGAAGGAAGCCGCCUGCCUCUUGGACUGCAACGAUUUGACUUUAUCCCUUCAUUUUCUCUCGUUCCUAAACGCUCAGUUCCGGCACUUGGGACUCAACAGGGGUUUGAAAUUGGCCGUGGCAGAGAAGGAUGUUGACCCCUUUCCUUUCCCUGCCUCCCUCCUGCCCAUCCUUGCACCAUCCUUGUUUGUGCCACUGCUGAUGCAUCCCCAUCCCAAAUUCCUUGGGAUUUCACAAAGCCCAGCUCAUCCCACGUGUGGCUCUUUGCAGGGACCUUCUGCUGUCACCAAGAAGGAUUUGUCCCAUCUCCAGCUGGGACACAACAUCCGUGUCCAGCAGCACUUUCAGCAGGUGAAGCUGCAUCCUCUGGGAAAGGUCUUUUAUCCAAAGGGAUAUGUGGGAGCCAGCCCCAGGCGUGUUCCUUCCCUGGACCAUCCCAGCUCCCUCCAGCAUGGUUGUAUUUUAUCUGUGGAGCUCUGGAAGGAUUUUGUUCCGUCAUCCCGGAAUUUUUAUGACUCCUUUGUGUGUAUAUAAUGCGAUUGCCCUGGAACAGAGGGAAAUUAAUCAUAGUUCCUUUGUUAGUUUUCAGGAAUUUUUAAUGUCUAUGUUUUUGUUCAUCUGUCAUGUCCGAAUGUGGGGUCCAUGGGCUAUUUGACAUUUCCAAUGACUUAAUUGCUUAGACUUUCCCCCUCGGUGUUUACGGACACUUGUUCCUCAUGGAUUUCGUGUGUGACAUUCCGUACCAUGGAUUUCCCGCCUGGUUCCAAUUUCUCACUCCAUCCCAGCGGUUCACAACAUCCCCUCCGGAUCCUGUGUCCCAGCCCCCUCACAUCCCGUGUGUUGGGAGUCCCCCCAGCCUGCAGCACAUCCCUCCCUGUGUCAGGGCCACGGGAAUCCGGGGCUGUCUGGGGCUUUUUCAGGAUGUCACACAAGGAACGUGCCCGAGGUGUCACUGCACGGUGUCCGGUGCCCAGGCUGAGAGCACAAAACACGGGAAGAGCGAAGGGGAAUCUCCUGGAUCAGCCUGCAAACAUCCAGCGUGGAGACGCUUUAAAUCCGAGUGGAUCAAGGGUGGCUUGACUGGUCAAGGAGAGGCAGCCAAGCCAAACAGAAGCGACUCCCAAACCUCCUCCACGAGCCAGAGGCUCCCAGUUACACUCUGGAUUUCGUGAUUUUGGUGCUGAUCCCAACCCAGUUAGAGACAGCAGGGUGAGGUGUGGGGAUCAUGGAAUAUUCGCUGGAUCCCACAGGGAUCGUCGAGUCAGGACAACCCCAACAAUCCCACCGUGACAACCAGGCAGGCUGACAUUCUGGGCUCUGAGCAAACACCAGGGGAUAGAUGGAAGCUGCCUAUCACCAGCCAUGUUACACAAGUCAUUAGCAGAACGUUAAUUAAAACAAAAGAUGCAAAUUG
This is a long non-coding RNA of Corvus hawaiiensis (hawaiian crow), 2200 nucleotides long. RefSeq lists it as uncharacterized. NCBI's taxonomy places the organism in Eukaryota, Metazoa, Chordata, Aves, Passeriformes, Corvidae. The record is from RefSeq and is a predicted model, not a curated record. The transcript is spliced from 2 exons.